Molecule: small RNA, 1269 nt
Filed under: Oryza sativa Japonica Group (Japanese rice)
Lineage: Eukaryota; Viridiplantae; Streptophyta; Magnoliopsida; Poales; Poaceae
Description: sRNA Os11g0608500
Source: RNAcentral
UCCGCAAUACUUGUUGGAGGCUGAGGAAUUGGAACAAAGACAAUCGGCAAUGACUUAACCUCACCCAUCUGUUUUUCCAAGUGCUGCUCAGUGACAUUAAUGUCAAGUGAGCCGAUGUCUGUCUCCCUCACCCUAGUGCUCCGUACAAAGAACAUAUCGUCGCACUGCAUGUUCGGUGGUGCGCUCCCCUGUGGUUGCAGCGUUACGAUGACAUAGCACCUAGACCAUGGUGCCAUAACUCCUUGGUCCCUGUGUAUUUGGUACUUCUUCUUGUUUGUGUUUGCAUAGAACUCGACGAUGUCAUCUGACUUGUUUGUUAGCUGCAGUACGCAGGAUAUCGCCUUGUUAGUCUCGAAUGGGAAGCGUAGCUCUAGAGGGUCGAACCCAAGAAACUCCCUAGGCUCAGGUCUCUGCAACGAAGAUCCAUAGAGAUAUUACUAAUAAGUGACAUUUUUAGGGUAUCGAUCUCAUUCAUUUUAUCAACAAUAUCGCUUAUAGUAGGUCUUUUUGCUCGGUCUUUAUCAAUACAUCUUAAUGCUAUUUCAAGGCAUGUCUUCACUUGUAGGCUAUCUGCUUCCUGCGAUGCAUACCUCGAUGUUGCUGCAUGCAGUCUUUUCUUCCAGUUUCCUUGUACCUUCAAAAUUGAACAAUACAGUAGAGAAGUCAUUUCAGCACAUUUAGAGUAGCCCGAAGGUCCAGCAAUUAUAUCUAUGAUUAUAACACCUAAACUGAAUACAUCAAACUUCUUGGUGAUUUGGCGUCUUUCAAUGUAUUCUGGUGGCAUGUAUCCGCUGCAUAUGUCCCUUUAAUUUGGCUUGUGAUAUGGGUUUUUGUUGUCGCAAAGAAUCUUGACAGGCCCAAAUCUGCAAUUUUUGGUAUCAUGCUUUUAUCUAACAAUAUGUUAGAUGGUUUCAAAUCCAGAUGAUAAAUAGGAUUGCUGGACCCAUUGUGAAGGUAAUUUAAACCCUCGCAAAUCCCCUUAAUUAUCUUGUAGCGUGUGUCCCACAGAUUGAGCAAAAUCGUACCAGAAAUAUGUUUGUCAAGGCUUCCAAGCUGCACAUGUUCAAAGCAGAGAGCUCUUUCUUCAACGUUAGAAAAUACAAAUUCUCCGUUGCGUUCAAUAUGUUUCUUCUUUGUUUCAUAGCAGUAGCCAACUAGCCUUACGACAUUCUGAUGGUGGACUUUCAUAAGGUUAUUAAACUCCUUUUUAAACUGCACAUCAUCAAGACCAGGUAUAACAUAUAGCUUCUUCACCGCAAUCUCUUCUCC